Molecule: ribosomal RNA, 253 nt
Filed under: uncultured bacterium
Lineage: Bacteria
Description: partial 16S ribosomal RNA
Rfam family: Bacterial small subunit ribosomal RNA
Source: RNAcentral
UACGAAGGGGGCGAGCGUUGUUCGGAAUUACUGGGCGUAAAGGGCGCGUAGGCGGCCCCUUUUGUCGCGUGUGAAAGUCCCGGGCUCAACCUGGGAGGUGCGCGCGAAACGGGGGGGCUUGAGUUCGGGAGAGGAGCGUGGAAUUCCCAGUGUAGAGGUGAAAUUCGUAGAUAUUGGGAAGAACACCGGUGGCGAAGGCGGCGCUCUGGACCGAGACUGACGCUGAGGCGCGAAAGCGUGGGGAGCAAACAGG